AUGCCGUCCUGGCCCAGUAGUAACGAGACCUUGAACGACGAUGACGAGCUCAUGAGCGAGAUCAGCAGCAUGCAAAUGGAGUAUUUCCUAACUCCUGACACAGUGAUAGACCCAAGCUUCUGUGAGCUUGUGACUGAAUCUGACAGAAGGUGCAUCCUGCACAGGCAGAGGGCAGGCAAGUUUGUGGCAUUUGAAGGCACUGACACUGGCAGGAGAUUCAUUGGAUGUGCUACUGAGGAUGGUGUGAACUGUGGUGUUCUGGAGUGGGUAGAUGCCCCCUGGCCUAUAAUUCUGCAAAGGUGCCUAACCAAGCUCUGGGAUAUGUAUCAUGAGCAGAACCUUGGUAGAGCCCAGGAAAAUGAGGCUCAUGGGACAGAGGUUGCAAAACUGUAG
RNAcentral lists this ribosomal RNA (393 nucleotides) under Triticum aestivum (bread wheat). Its description in RNAcentral is "partial small subunit ribosomal RNA". The record is from RNAcentral. Lineage: Eukaryota; Viridiplantae; Streptophyta; Magnoliopsida; Poales; Poaceae.